GCCAGGAGCUGCUCCAACCCCUACCCCGAAGGGGACGGGGAGGGGGGGGGGAAAGAGACCCGCGCGUGCGCAUCAACCAAUGAGGUGAAUACAAGCGAGGCAACGGAGGGUGCAGAUAAAGAGCAAUCGUCCAAUCAGGUACCUUGAAAAUAAGCCUGGCCAAUAGCUGACAAGAAGAAUGAGGACUCUAUAGUGAAACAAAAGAUUAGAAAACCCUACCUUUAUACCAGAACAGAUGGCUCAGCUGAUCACGCAAAUUUGAAGACUGUUCAACGCUGUGGGAGAGUUUAACAAGUGGAUAUAGAUACUUAGCUAUAAUUGCUGAAAAAAAAGACUUCCACAACAUAAAGGAUGCAUCUAGCUGUUUCAGA
Long non-coding RNA from Crotalus tigris (Tiger rattlesnake), 371 nucleotides. RefSeq lists it as uncharacterized. The transcript has 3 exons. The record is from RefSeq and is a predicted model, not a curated record. NCBI's taxonomy places the organism in Eukaryota, Metazoa, Chordata, Lepidosauria, Squamata, Viperidae.